UUGGUUAGAGCGCGCGCUUGAUAAGCGUGAGGUCGGAAGUUCAAGUCUUCCCAGGCCCACCAUUUUGAUCGAGUGCGGAGCAUUCGUCUUCUGGUACGGGGCCAUAGCUCAGCUGGGAGAGCGCGUGCUUUGCAAGCAUGAGGUCGUCGGUUCGAUCCCGUCUGGCUCCACCAGAUGGUUUGAUCACCAACGGCGUUACCGUCGUCCGCGAAACAUCACUUCGCACGCAUUGGUCCGGAUGGACGGUGACGUGCGUGUUUUCUGACAUCGUAAAGAGGAGAUCGAUCCGAGUUUGGAUCCAGCGAAGCAAUUCGCGGGUACCAUUCCUAAUCUCCAGAUCGUUUUCGGCGCUCGCGCAUCGCAGCUCAUCGCAAGAUGAGUGAGGUGAGCGAGUUGUAAAACGAUCUUUGUAGCGAAGCUUGACCGCCUCGCUAUCGGGCCGAUCUUACGAAGCAAGCUGGUCUUUCUAGUCAAUGUCCGGCUGCGCAAUCGCAUUCAUCGAGGAUGCGCGCCUGAGACUUCGGUCUUUGGGCAAUUGUGCAGACAACAUUCUGCCGAGUGUGUGGACAUUGAUAAUGAGAGCAAUCAAGUGCCUUAAGGGUGUUCGGUGGAUGCCUUGGCGCUGAGAGGCGAUGAAGGACGUGCUACGCUGCGAUAAGCCGUGGGGAGCUGCGAAGAAGCUUUGAUCCGCGGAUUUCCGAAUGG
RNAcentral lists this unclassified non-coding RNA (705 nucleotides) under Bradyrhizobium sp. STM 3065. RNAcentral describes it as "partial 16S-23S ribosomal RNA intergenic spacer". The stretch from base 584 to 705 matches the Rfam family "Bacterial large subunit ribosomal RNA", at positions 1 to 121 of the family's 2925-position model. Lineage: Bacteria; Pseudomonadati; Pseudomonadota; Alphaproteobacteria; Hyphomicrobiales; Nitrobacteraceae. The record is from RNAcentral.